RNAcentral lists this transfer RNA (87 nucleotides) under Taibaiella sp. KBW10. RNAcentral describes it as "tRNA-Leu". It matches the Rfam family "tRNA". From Rfam's summary of the family: Transfer RNA (tRNA) molecules are approximately 80 nucleotides in length. The record is from RNAcentral. Lineage: Bacteria; Pseudomonadati; Bacteroidota; Chitinophagia; Chitinophagales; Chitinophagaceae.
GCCCAGAUGGCGGAAUUGGUAGACGCGCUAGACUCAAAAUCUUGUAUUCGCAAGGAUGUGCAGGUUCGAUUCCUGUUCUGGGCACCA